UCUUCGAUGGUCUAGUGGUCAUGAUUUCCGCUUGUCAAAGCACCUGCUUUAGCAAGCGCGGGAGACCGGGGUUCGAUUCCCCGUCGGAGAG
Molecule: transfer RNA, 91 nt
Filed under: Macrophomina phaseolina
Lineage: Eukaryota; Fungi; Ascomycota; Dothideomycetes; Botryosphaeriales; Botryosphaeriaceae
Also listed under: 1 other name
Description: tRNA-Asp
Rfam family: tRNA
About the family: Transfer RNA (tRNA) molecules are approximately 80 nucleotides in length. Their secondary structure includes four short double-helical elements and three loops (D, anti-codon, and T loops). Further hydrogen bonds mediate the characteristic L-shaped molecular structure. tRNAs have two regions of fundamental functional importance: the anti-codon, which is responsible for specific mRNA codon recognition, and the 3' end, to which the tRNAs corresponding amino acid is attached (by aminoacyl-tRNA synthetases). tRNAs cope with the degeneracy of the genetic code in two manners: having more than one tRNA (with a specific anti-codon) for a particular amino acid; and 'wobble' base-pairing, i.e. permitting non-standard base-pairing at the 3rd anti-codon position.
Source: RNAcentral